GAAAUGCGAUAAGUAAUGUGAAUUGCAGAAUUCAGUGAAUCAUCGAAUCUUUGAACGCACCUUGCGCUCCUUGGUAUUCCUUGGAGCAUGCCUGUUUGAGUAUCAUGAAAUCUUCAAAGUAAAUCUUUUGUUAACUCAAUUGGUUUCUACUUUGGUAUUGGAGGUCUUUGCAGCUUCACACCUGCUCCUCUUUGUUCAUUAGCUGGAUCUCAGUGUUAUGCUUGGUUCCUCUCGGCGUGAUAAGUUAUCUAUCGCUGAGGACACUGUAAAAGGUGGCCAAGGUAAAUGCAGAUGAACCGCUUCUAAUAGUCCAUUGACUUGGACAAUACUUUUAUGAUCUGAUCUCAAAUCAGGUAGGACUACCCGCUGAACUUAAG
RNAcentral lists this unclassified non-coding RNA (377 nucleotides) under plant metagenome. Its description in RNAcentral is "partial contains 5.8S ribosomal RNA, internal transcribed spacer 2, and large subunit ribosomal RNA". The stretch from base 1 to 105 matches the Rfam family "5.8S ribosomal RNA", at positions 50 to 154 of the family's 154-position model. The record is from RNAcentral.